UACGAAGGGGGCUAGCGUUACUCGGAUUGACUGGGCGUAAAGGGCGCGUAGGCGGCUUGUACAGUCAGGCGUGAAAUUCCUGGGCUCAACCUGGGGGCUGCGUUUGAUACGUGCGGGCUUGAGUUCGGAAGAGGGUCGUGGAAUUCCCAGUGUAGAGGUGAAAUUCGUAGAUAUUCGCAAGAACACCAGUGGCGAAGGCGGCUCACUGGCCCGGUACUGACGCUGAGGUGCGAAAGCGUGGGGAGCAAACAGG
RNAcentral lists this ribosomal RNA (253 nucleotides) under uncultured bacterium. Its description in RNAcentral is "partial 16S ribosomal RNA". It matches the Rfam family "Bacterial small subunit ribosomal RNA", at positions 524 to 776 of the family's 1533-position model. The record is from RNAcentral.